This 245-nucleotide non-coding RNA is filed under the name Streptomyces sp. The record is from RNAcentral. RNAcentral also lists the same sequence under 1 other name. Lineage: Bacteria; Bacillati; Actinomycetota; Actinomycetes; Kitasatosporales; Streptomycetaceae.
AGGGUGUGCCGUGCAGCUGGUUCGCCCCGUCCGCCAGGCGGGAUGCGUCGCAAGAGGGAACCCGGUGGGAAUCCGGGACUGCCCCGCAGCGGUGAGCGGGAACGACCGCCGUCAUACGCACUGGGCCCCGGACGGGGCCUGGGAAGCGACGGCCAGUAGGUGUCCCCCUCGUACGGAUCCGGUCGGAUCGGUACGGCGAGGACGGGCCCGCGAGUCCGAAGACCUGCCAACUGCCCGCGCGUGAA